CGACCCYGUCUUCGCCGCCCUCAAGCGCAUGGAGCUGGCGGGCUGCGCCGAGGUGCUGCGGCUGCGCCUGCAGGACUGCCCCUGAGCCGUGCCGCGAGCCGUGCUGCAAGCCAUGCCGCAUGCCGUGCUGCAUGCCACAUGCCGCGCUGCAUKCCAUGUGCCGGGCUGCAUGCCGUGCUGCAUGCCGUGCCGUGCUGCGUGCCGGGCUGCAGGACGCAGCAUCACUGGCCGCCCCAGGCUCCUGCCGGGCUGUGCACGUCCCAGCGGCGCUGGCCACAGGGCUGCUGGUCCCGGAGCAGCGCAGCCCCGUGGGGAGCUGGCGGCGGCGGCGCACUGCCUGGCGCUGCGGGGCGCCCUACCCCUAAGUAUAGUUACUUAUGCCGUGUAGACAUGUUAUGUCAGUUAUCCGCCCGCGGGCUCGGCCGGCGGAAGUGGGACGGAGCUCUCCUGCCGGCGGGUGCUGGCCCGCAGCCCCCCUAUUUAUGUCCUCCCCCUGCCUGCGGCGCACCGGCCGGGUCCCGCGGCGCCGAGCCCGCGCCGAACCCAUGGGAUAGUUCUCGAGGCCGCCCGGGGCGUGCGGGGCCGGCCCCCACGGAAAUAAAGCGGCCUCUUCUCCACCUGCCGGCACCUGGCCCUUCUUCCCGGGGCUGCCGCCGGCCCCGCGCGCGGCGCGGGCUGCGGGCGGAUGGCGCUGGGGCACCGCGGGCAUCGGGGACACCGCAGGCGCUGGGGCCGCUGCACGUGUCACGGGCGCUGGGGACGCUGCAGGUGCUGGCGACACCACGGGGCAGCCUGGAGGAAGGUGCGGGGCGCUGCUGGAGGGGUUCACUGUUUUAUUCGCUGAAAAUGCAGGCGCUCUAGGGCAGACGCAAGCCGAAAGUCUCCCUCUAGCGGCUCCGGGAACGGGACGGGACGCGGCGGAGGCGAGCGAGCCGGGCCGUGCAUGCACGGCGCCAGCGGCGUGCACGGGACUGGCAGCGUGCACGGGACGGGCGGCGUGCACGGGGGCUGGUGGCGUGCACGGGGCCAUUGGCGUGCCCAGGGCUGGCGGCAUGCGCGGUG
Molecule: long non-coding RNA, 1062 nt
Filed under: Apteryx haastii (Great spotted kiwi)
Lineage: Eukaryota; Metazoa; Chordata; Aves; Apterygiformes; Apterygidae
Description: lncRNA (ENSAHAG00000013980.1)
Source: RNAcentral